Molecule: transfer RNA, 76 nt
Filed under: Candidatus Omnitrophota bacterium
Lineage: Bacteria; Pseudomonadati; Candidatus Omnitrophota
Description: tRNA-His
Rfam family: tRNA
About the family: Transfer RNA (tRNA) molecules are approximately 80 nucleotides in length. Their secondary structure includes four short double-helical elements and three loops (D, anti-codon, and T loops).
Source: RNAcentral
GUGGAUGUAGCUCAGUUGGCAGAGCACUUGAUUGUGGUUCAAGAAGUCGCGGGUUCAAAUCCCGUCAUCCACCCCA